RNAcentral lists this long non-coding RNA (1346 nucleotides) under Capra hircus (goat). Its description in RNAcentral is "lncRNA (ENSCHIG00010004128.1)". Lineage: Eukaryota; Metazoa; Chordata; Mammalia; Artiodactyla; Bovidae. The record is from RNAcentral.
GCUAUUGACUCCAUGCUACCGAUGGGGCCUGCGGUCAGACCCUUCUCACACGAGCUCCCAGUGUCAGAGCUUCAAGUGGAAGGGAUGGAAAGGCCAUUUUCAUCCAAGGCUGUACCUCUCUGAAGGAGCUAAGGAGAAGGAACCACAUCAACUCUGGAGGGCAGACUCUUGGGGGUAAGUACCGGCUUCACUACUUGCAGUGUGGGGACAUAAUUACCACGUGUGGUCACAAGCUGCCCUUUCGGUCUCCUUUUCCUGGGGCAAGUGACUCAAACCUCUAAGAGCUCAGCUAUUCCUAACACAGGCUCAUCAACAUGCCACCUCACUGGGCAGCUGUGAGGAUUAAGUGAGACGGCUUCCUAACAAUGAGGCAGUAGGCAAGUACUGGCGGCGGCUGUUCCAUGUCAUCCGCUUGGGUCUCCUGCUGCCUCAUUUACAGCAGAGGGCUACCCCAUCUGGUUUUGCAGAAGCCGAGUGUACAGAGGAACCGCAGUGUCUGAACGCAGGAACUGCAGCCCAGUGCACGGAGCUUCCCAGAGCUGGUGUGCUUCUGGCUCUCAGCCUCUGUCUCUGCUUCCUCGGUCACCACAAGACAGUGAUACACUGGGGCAGUCAAGUCUGCAAAGAGACUCCCACUUGGAGUGUGUAAGUGUUCCAGGCGUGAGCCUGUGCAAGGCCCCAUCCUCCCCGGCUCCUAUCCCCAACAAGGCAGGCAGACACAUUCAAUAAAGCAAUGGCAGAAAUGUCCAGGUUUUACAGGGGAAAAAAAAGAGUUGAUCCUUAAAUUCUAUUCCACCACUCAGUUUAGGGUUCUCCACUUACUAAUCUAGGAUAAACUGUGUUUUCUAGUAAUUACUAUUUGAAAAGCUCUAGAGAAGGGUGUUUCAAUAUAACAAGAAUGAGAAUAUCCUUUUUAUAUAUACUAAGACUUAGAAUAUUCUUUUUAAUCGUUUUUGUUGCCUAAUGAACACUUCGAAUUUUUUAACUCAGUAAGCUUACCUCUUUAUUGGAGAUAAGGAGAAAUCUAGCAGCUUUUGCUUCAAAAAGAACAACUGCUGGUUUAUUCUAAUUACACCUUAUCCUUUUGAUCUUGACCUUCAUUAUUAAUAAUAAAAUAGAGUUAUUUCCGACAGUCAUUAAAGUCCUUGCCAUUUGAACUGUGGAAAAGAAAUAUUAAACAAGGCAAGGCUGAAUACUUCAAACUCCGCUAACAACGGGACAAUGUCUGUUGCACAGCCAAUUUAAGUUGGCCAUAGAGACUCAUGGCAGAAAGUGAGGAAGAGCUGAGAAGCCUCCUGAUGAAAGUGAAAGAGGAGAGCAAAAAAGCUGGCUUAAAACUCAACAUU